CAGGCUGGUACUGGCCUGUGAUUGGUGAGGAGCUGCCGGUGUGACUCCUUCCCGGGGAAGUAAGCACGAAUGAGGAGUGGGUUGCAGGAGGUACUCGGGUCCUAUUUGCCUGUCCUGGGCUUCGGGCUAGGUGCUGACCCCGCAGCCCGGUACAGCGCUGCAGCAUUUAAAGGGUCGGCAUGACUCCAUGAGGCGAACAGCUUCUCCUUCCAAACUGACACCGUUCACUGUUGUCCCUGCAAGUCCUGACUGACCUUGGCCUGAAUGCGUUUAUGUGUCUCCUGGUUUCGACCUUUGUAUACCUCCUGAAGAACUAAAUCAUCAAAUCAAUCUUGGAUCAUACAAACAUGAUGAAAGGUGUCAGUCGUAUCUGGAUAAAUUUGAUCAAAGCGAUUAUUGAAGGCCAGAGACCAAAUUCAAAAGUUGUCAAGUUAUACAUGUUUGGAGCACUUUUGACACUUUUCACUGCUUUCCUGGCAGUAACAGAGAUGGUACAUUCAAUAUUGCUUCCUGCAGAUAAGGAUGAUGCUUUGAAACCAACGAAUGGUGUAUUUGCCAGACGGUCAAGAACUACACGAAGUUAUCUUCUAAGUAAAAGGCAGAACCCAUGCAGAUUGCAUGCCUCCUAAUUGGGAUGAAAUUCGGUUCCAAAUCGAAGUAUGAAUAACAAUUGUACACAUGUCCCAUUUGUGUUUCUGUUUUUGUUUGGGGAAAAAAAAAGCCACAGUUUAAUGUUUGGAAUUUAAAAAUGCUAUACAUUCCUUGCCUAGAGAAUAUAAUAAAGUUGGGAAACACAUUUGUUAAUUGUUGCAGAAGAUUUACCUUUGUGACAUUGAUAGUUUAAAUAAUGGUUGGGGGGGUGCAGUAAGGGGAAACUGGUGCUUUGUGAUAAUUUACAACAAAUCAGUGAUAGACUUGAUGUGAUUUGUUACAGCACUUUCUGGCUGGUUUAGCAAUUUCUGUAAACUUAGGUUCUCAAAAUUCCUGUUAAGUUUGCAGAUAAUCAUGAACUGUGAAAAAUCCCUUGAAUAUGCAUGAUUUUGAGCUAUAUGUAUAGUACACAGUUUCAGGAUGAUGCUGGUAAAGGGUAUCUUGCUGUGGAUCUAAAUCACAAGAACCCUGUCAUAUUGAUCCAAGAAUAAAUGUAUUUGAAUUGCAA
Non-coding RNA from Chiloscyllium plagiosum (whitespotted bambooshark), 1159 nucleotides. The record is from RefSeq and is a predicted model, not a curated record. NCBI's taxonomy places the organism in Eukaryota, Metazoa, Chordata, Chondrichthyes, Orectolobiformes, Hemiscylliidae.